RNAcentral lists this ribosomal RNA (497 nucleotides) under uncultured bacterium. Its description in RNAcentral is "partial 16S ribosomal RNA". It matches the Rfam family "Bacterial small subunit ribosomal RNA", at positions 28 to 507 of the family's 1533-position model. The record is from RNAcentral.
GAUGAACGCUGGCGGCGUGCCUAAUACAUGCAGGUCGAGCGAACAGACGAUGAGCUUGCUCCUCUGACGUUAGCGGCGGACGGGUGAGUAACACGUGGAUAACCUACCUAUAAGACUGGGAUAACUUCGGGAAACCGGAGCUAAUACCGGAUAAUAUAUUGAACCUCAUGGUUCAAUAGUGAAAGACGGUUUUGCUGUCACUUAUAGAUGGAUCCGCGCCGAAUUAGCUAGUUGGUAAGGUAACGGCUUACCAAGGCAACGAUGCGUAGCCGACCUGAGAGGGGGAUCGGCCACACUGGAACUGAGACACGGUCAGGACUCCUACGGGAGGCAGCAGUAGGGAAUCUUCCGCAAUGGGCGAAAGCCUGACGGAGCAACGCCGCGUGAGUGAUGAAGGUCUUCGGAUCGUAAAACUCUGUUAUUAGGGAAGAACAAAUGUGUAAGUAACUAUGCACGUCUUGACGGUACCUAAUCAGAAAGCCACGGCUAACUACGUG